UUAAGCGACUAAGCGUACACGGUGGAUGCCCUGGCAGUCAGAGGCGAUGAAGGACGUGCUAAUCUGCGAUAAGCGUCGGUAAGGUGAUAUGAACCGUUAUAACCGGCGAUUUCCGAAUGGGGAAACCCAGUGUGUUUCGACACACUAUCAUUAACUGAAUCCAUAGGUUAAUGAGGCGAACCGGGGGAACUGAAACAUCUAAGUACCCCGAGGAAAAGAAAUCAACCGAGAUUCCCCCAGUAGCGGCGAGCGAACGGGGAGCAGCCCAGAGCCUGAAUCAGUGUGUGUGUUAGUGGAAGCGUCUGGAAAGGCGCGCGAUACAGGGUGACAGCCCCGUACACAAAAAUGCACAUGCUGUGAGCUCGAUGAGUAGGGCGGGACACGUGGUAUCCUGUCUGAAUAUGGGGGGACCAUCCUCCAAGGCUAAAUACUCCUGACUGACCGAUAGUGAACCAGUACCGUGAGGGAAAGGCGAAAAGAACCCCGGCGAGGGGAGUGAAAAAGAACCUGAAACCGUGUACGUACAAGCAGUGGGAGCCUCUUUUAUGGGGUGACUGCGUACCUUUUGUAUAAUGGGUCAGCGACUUAUAUUCUGUAGCAAGGUUAACCGAAUAGGGGAGCCGAAGGGAAACCGAGUCUUAACUGGGCGUUAAGUUGCAGGGUAUAGACCCGAAACCCGGUGAUCUAGCCAUGGGCAGGUUGAAGGUUGGGUAACACUAACUGGAGGACCGAACCGACUAAUGUUGAAAAAUUAGCGGAUGACUUGUGGCUGGGGGUGAAAGGCCAAUCAAACCGGGAGAUAGCUGGUUCUCCCCGAAAGCUAUUUAGGUAGCGCCUCGUGAAUUCAUCUCCGGGGGUAGAGCACUGUUUCGGCAAGGGGGUCAUCCCGACUUACCAACCCGAUGCAAACUGCGAAUACCGGAGAAUGUUAUCACGGGAGACACACGGCGGGUGCUAACGUCCGUCGUGAAGAGGGAAACAACCCAGACCGCCAGCUAAGGUCCCAAAGUCAUGGUUAAGUGGGAAACGAUGUGGGAAGGCCCAGACAGCCAGGAUGUUGGCUUAGAAGCAGCCAUCAUUUAAAGAAAGCGUAAUAGCUCACUGGUCGAGUCGGCCUGCGCGGAAGAUGUAACGGGGCUAAACCAUGCACCGAAGCUGCGGCAGCGACGCUUAUGCGUUGUUGGGUAGGGGAGCGUUCUGUAAGCCUGCGAAGGUGUGCUGUGAGGCAUGCUGGAGGUAUCAGAAGUGCGAAUGCUGACAUAAGUAACGAUAAAGCGGGUGAAAAGCCCGCUCGCCGGAAGACCAAGGGUUCCUGUCCAACGUUAAUCGGGGCAGGGUGAGUCGACCCCUAAGGCGAGGCCGAAAGGCGUAGUCGAUGGGAAACAGGUUAAUAUUCCUGUACUUGGUGUUACUGCGAAGGGGGGACGGAGAAGGCUAUGUUGGCCGGGCGACGGUUGUCCCGGUUUAAGCGUGUAGGCUGGUUUUCUAGGCAAAUCCGGAAAAUCAAGGCUGAGGCGUGAUGACGAGGCACUACGGUGCUGAAGCAACAAAUGCCCUGCUUCCAGGAAAAGCCUCUAAGCAUCAGGUAACAUCAAAUCGUACCCCAAACCGACACAGGUGGUCAGGUAGAGAAUACCAAGGCGCUUGAGAGAACUCGGGUGAAGGAACUAGGCAAAAUGGUGCCGUAACUUCGGGAGAAGGCACGCUGAUAUGUAGGUGAAGUCCCUCGCGGAUGGAGCUGAAAUCAGUCGAAGAUACCAGCUGGCUGCAACUGUUUAUUAAAAACACAGCACUGUGCAAACACGAAAGUGGACGUAUACGGUGUGACGCCUGCCCGGUGCCGGAAGGUUAAUUGAUGGGGUCAGCGCAAGCGAAGCUCUUGAUCGAAGCCCCGGUAAACGGCGGCCGUAACUAUAACGGUCCUAAGGUAGCGAAAUUCCUUGUCGGGUAAGUUCCGACCUGCACGAAUGGCGUAAUGAUGGCCAGGCUGUCUCCACCCGAGACUCAGUGAAAUUGAACUCGCUGUGAAGAUGCAGUGUACCCGCGGCAAGACGGAAAGACCCCGUGAACCUUUACUAUAGCUUGACACUGAACAUUGAGCCUUGAUGUGUAGGAUAGGUGGGAGGCUUAGAAGUGUGGACGCCAGUCUGCAUGGAGCCGACCUUGAAAUACCACCCUUUAAUGUUUGAUGUUCUAACGUGGACCCGUGAUCCGGGUUGCGGACAGUGUCUGGUGGGUAGUUUGACUGGGGCGGUCUCCUCCUAAAGAGUAACGGAGGAGCACGAAGGUUGGCUAAUCCUGGUCGGACAUCAGGAGGUUAGUGCAAUGGCAUAAGCCAGCUUGACUGCGAGCGUGACGGCGCGAGCAGGUGCGAAAGCAGGUCAUAGUGAUCCGGUGGUUCUGAAUGGAAGGGCCAUCGCUCAACGGAUAAAAGGUACUCCGGGGAUAACAGGCUGAUACCGCCCAAGAGUUCAUAUCGACGGCGGUGUUUGGCACCUCGAUGUCGGCUCAUCACAUCCUGGGGCUGAAGUAGGUCCCAAGGGUAUGGCUGUUCGCCAUUUAAAGUGGUACGCGAGCUGGGUUUAGAACGUCGUGAGACAGUUCGGUCCCUAUCUGCCGUGGGCGCUGGAGAACUGAGGGGGGCUGCUCCUAGUACGAGAGGACCGGAGUGGACGCAUCACUGGUGUUCGGGUUGUCAUGCCAAUGGCACUGCCCGGUAGCUAAAUGCGGAAGAGAUAAGUGCUGAAAGCAUCUAAGCACGAAACUUGCCCCGAGAUGAGUUCUCCCUGACCCUUUAAGGGUCCUGAAGGAACGUUGAAGACGACGACGUUGAUAGGCCGGGUGUGUAAGCGCAGCGAUGCGUUGAGCUAACCGGUACUAAUGAACCGUGAGGCUUAACCU
Molecule: ribosomal RNA, 2901 nt
Filed under: Escherichia coli
Lineage: Bacteria; Pseudomonadati; Pseudomonadota; Gammaproteobacteria; Enterobacterales; Enterobacteriaceae
Description: 23S ribosomal RNA
Rfam family: Bacterial large subunit ribosomal RNA
Source: RNAcentral